Molecule: long non-coding RNA, 265 nt
Organism: Melanotaenia boesemani (Boeseman's rainbowfish)
Lineage: Eukaryota; Metazoa; Chordata; Actinopteri; Atheriniformes; Melanotaeniidae
Exons: 3
Source: RefSeq, a predicted model, not a curated record
UGAUGGGAAACAGGACUCUUCACCAAUCCAGGAUCUCUCUCGGAUAUUGGUUUACACCGAAGUUAGUCCCCUUCAGUUCGUGGACCUGGUUCUUCACCUGCUCUUUUCUUUUUCACCAUUUAUUUUAUCUUCUUAUUUUCUGCAGAGAGUCGGGUCAACCCCUCGAGAUCACUCGGCAAACCACAGCUACGUCCAUCCUCGGUGGAAACUGGGAACGCCAGUGAAUCUGAGUUAAAGUCCCUGGAAACUGAGGAAACACUAGUGG